UCUCUGGAGGACUAGUGGUUAGGCCACAGCGCUCUCACCACUGUGGCCCGCGUUUGAUUCCCGGCCAGGGAA
RNAcentral lists this transfer RNA (72 nucleotides) under Pangasianodon hypophthalmus (striped catfish). RNAcentral's name for it is "tRNA-Glu". It matches the Rfam family "tRNA". From Rfam's summary of the family: Transfer RNA (tRNA) molecules are approximately 80 nucleotides in length. Lineage: Eukaryota; Metazoa; Chordata; Actinopteri; Siluriformes; Pangasiidae. The record is from RNAcentral.